Molecule: transfer RNA, 100 nt
Filed under: Aspergillus rambellii
Lineage: Eukaryota; Fungi; Ascomycota; Eurotiomycetes; Eurotiales; Aspergillaceae
Rfam family: tRNA
About the family: Transfer RNA (tRNA) molecules are approximately 80 nucleotides in length. Their secondary structure includes four short double-helical elements and three loops (D, anti-codon, and T loops).
Source: Rfam by way of RNAcentral
GGGGUGAUGGCUCAGUUGGGAGAGCGUAUGACUGAAGAUCAACUUCAAUCCAGCCACCAAGGCAAUCAUAAGGUCCCCGGUUCGAUCCCGGGUCACCCCA